GACGAACGCUGGCGGCGUGCUUAACACAUGCAAGUCGAACGGAAAGGCCCUGCUUUUGUGGGGUUCUCGAUUGGCGAACGGGUGAGUAACACGUGAGUAACCUGCCCUUGUCUUUCUGAUAACUUCUGGAAACUGGGGCUAAUACCCGGGAGGAUCUCCUGCUGCAUGGGGGGGGUUGGAAAGUGUCGGCGGUUGUGGAUGGACUCGAUGCUUAUCAGCUUGUUGGUGGGGUAGUGGCUUACCAAGGCUUUGACGGGUAGCCGGCCUGGGAGGGUGACCGGCGACAUUGGGACUGAGAUACGGCCCAGACGGCUACGGGAGGCAGCAGUGGGGAGUCUUGCACAAUGGGCGGAAGCCUGAUGCGGAAACGCCGCGUGCGGGAUGACGGCCUUCGGGUUGUAAACCGCUUUCGCCUGUGCCGAAGCGUGAGUGACGGUAAUGGGUAAAGAAGCACCGGCUAACUACGUG
This 468-nucleotide ribosomal RNA is filed under the name uncultured bacterium. Its description in RNAcentral is "partial 16S ribosomal RNA". It matches the Rfam family "Bacterial small subunit ribosomal RNA", at positions 28 to 507 of the family's 1533-position model. The record is from RNAcentral.